This 393-nucleotide ribosomal RNA is filed under the name uncultured bacterium. RNAcentral describes it as "partial 16S ribosomal RNA". It matches the Rfam family "Bacterial small subunit ribosomal RNA", at positions 523 to 918 of the family's 1533-position model. The record is from RNAcentral.
AUACGGAGGAUCCGAGCGUUAUCCGGAUUUAUUGGGUUUAAAGGGAGCGCAGGCGGAGAUGCAAGCGUGACGUCAAAUUUCGGGGCUCAACCCCGUCUCGCGUCGCGAACUGCGUCCCUUGGUUGCGGGAAGGGGAGGCGGAACUCGUGGUGUAGCGGUGAAAUGCGUAGAUAUCACGAAGAACUCCGAUCGCGAAGGCAGCCUUCCGGCCCGUCAACGACGCUCAUGCUCGAAGGUGCGGGUAUCAAACAGGAUUAGAUACCCUGGUAGUCCGCACAGUAAACGAUGGACACCCGCGGUUUGGCCUGUAUGGCUGAGCCGCCAAGCGAAAGCGUUAAGUGUCCCACCUGGGGAGUACGCCGGCAACGGUGAAACUCAAAUGAAUUGACGGGG